AACGAACGCUGGCGGCAUGCCUAACACAUGCAAGUCGAACGAGACCUUCGGGUCUAGUGGCGCACGGGUGCGUAACGCGUGGGAACCUGCCCUUAGGUUCGGAAUAACUCCCCGAAAGGGGUGCUAAUACCGGAUAAUGUCUUCGGACCAAAGAUUUAUCGCCUUUGGAUGGGCCCGCGUUGGAUUAGCUAGUUGGUAGGGUAAAAGCCUACCAAGGCGACGAUCCAUAGCUGGUCUGAGAGGAUGAUCAGCCACACUGGGACUGAGACACGGCCCAGACUCCUGCGGGAGGCAGCAGGGGGGAAUAUUGGAAAAGGGGCGAAAGCCUGAUCCAGAAAUGCCGCGGGGGUGAUGAAGGCCUUGGGGUUGUAAAGCUCUUUUACCCGGGAUGAUAAUGACAGGACCGGGAGAAUAAGCCCCGGCUAACUCCGU
Molecule: ribosomal RNA, 432 nt
Filed under: uncultured bacterium
Lineage: Bacteria
Description: partial 16S ribosomal RNA
Rfam family: Bacterial small subunit ribosomal RNA
Source: RNAcentral